GCUCGUCUCAAGCUUUUGUUCAUCUGUUUCCAGCCGCACCGCGGAGAACAGGAGCCAUUGCGACUCACUACGGUCUUCAUCAGCAAUCACGCUUGUGUUCUUAUUACCUCUUGCAGGACGUGGAUACUAAAAUAGUUUCACCGUCGGACGUUUGGUGUUUAAAUCUUCAUUUACUUACAAACUCAACAUGGAGAGCGAGAACAAAUACCUCCCGCAGCUGCUGGCGGAACGAGACACCCUGGACGCGUCGUUCACACACGCCACGAAACUUAUAUCCGCAGAAAUUGAAAGGGUUCAAAAUGGGGAGACCGAGAAAGAUACAGAAAGCUACCUGGACCUCUUUACGACGAAAAACAUCAAACUGAAGGAAAGGGUUCUCAUACCAGUCAAGCAGUACCCUAAGUUUAACUUUGUUGGAAAGAUCCUUGGACCACAGGGGAACACCAUCAAGAGACUGCAGGAGGAGACGGGCGCUAAGAUCUCUGUGCUGGGGAAAGGAUCCAUGAGGGACAAAACCAAGGAGGAUGGCUUGAGAAAAAGUGAAGAGCCGAAGUACGCACACUUGUCCAUGGAGCUUCAUGUGUUCAUUGAGGUGUUUGCUCCUGUUCCUGAGGCGUACAUGCGCAUGGCUCAUGCCAUGGAGGAGAUCAAAAAGUUCUUGUUCCCUGACAUGAUGGAUGACAUUUGCCAGGAGCAGUUCAUGGAGAUGAAGUAUCUAAAUGGAGGUCAGGAACAUGGGGGCAGAGGCCGAGGAGGGCCACCCAUCAGAGGGCGUGGAGGUCUUCCUCCUCCUGGGGCACCCAGGGGUCGUGGUAUGCCCCCACGUGGAGGUGGCCGUGGUGGUCCCCCUCGAGGUGGAGCCGCAAGGGGAGCUCCUGCAGGUAGAGGUGGACCAUCAGCCCAGCCGCCCAGAGGAGCAGCUUCCAACCGUGCCCGUCCACCCGCCCAGUCUCAGCGGAUGCCCCCUCCACCAGCCCCGCACCCUCCGGCCCAAGACUCAUACGAAGACUAUUCUUAUGACGAGAGCUACACAGAGCCAGGCUAUGAAUCCUAUGACAGCUACUACAGCCAGCCACAAGCAGAACCAGAGUACUAUGAUUAUGGACACGGAGAGACACAGGAGGGGUAUGAAAACUACGCUCAAGAUGACUGGAACGGGACACAGCGCGCUGUUGGUGGUGGAAAAGCUCCCACUCAGAGACCGACUAAGCCUGGAUUCAGGGAACCCCCUUAUGGACGAUACUAAGUCUGACUAGCGGAAAGUCACCCAACGCGUCGCCAUAACUGUCUCCCAUGGCAGCUCACACUUUAAGCUACCCGACAAAAGUUGUGAUGCCUGGAAAUUCCUGGAAAUGGAAAGUUUAAACAAGAAUAUCAGACCUCUCCUCAGGAAAAGACAAGUGUUUGUUUGCAGUGUAAGAGCAAUCUUACCUUUGAACACCAGCAGUCUUUAUGGAACCAUGGACGGUCUGACUGGACAGCUUCUGAAUGGGGUGGAAUGGCAGAAAUCGAUGGUACUGUCAGCUAAAGUUUAAACCAGCAACCUCUUAAAAGGGUUGAAAAGUCUUGAGGUCUGGUGCGGUGUAUAUCUGCUCUCCAGUGGUUAUGCAAAGUCAUUUCUCUACUGAAAAGUUUCCUUUUACUGUUCACCUCAAGUGCUUUCUAAGCACACUUAACUUUAAAUGUUCAUCUUUAAAUUGACCUCUUCUGCUCAUGUUGGCCAAGAAAUCAUUUUAACAAGCUCGGAAAAUUCUGUCCGAGCUCUCUAAACGUCUACCUCAGACAAUACUCCAGUGCUUUAUUCUGCAGGACAAGCAUGUCUUCCCCAGUUCCUCGCUCGGAGGAACGUACAUGCUAAUUUAGAGCUGUCCGGCUCCUAUCUCUUAGCAAAGACUUUGUCCUUUAAUUGCCAUGGUAAUUUUUGUCUUGCUCUUGAGAUAUGUUUGAAUGGGUUUAAGCUGCUGGAACUGUCUUGCAGUUUGCGUGAAUCACAAUUGAAAUUUCCAUCUCAUUAACCAAAUGCAAAAAACUCCAGGGGCUCGCAACAUAGUGCAGCUGUUGAUCUAAAUCAUACUAACAUUGUUACCUUAAGUUCUGGAUAAAGGUCUUUCUUGCCCUAAUUGAGAGCUUUCCAUAAAUUCAGCUUUUUCUAAUCCUUGCUGUGUAGAGUGUGAAUUUAGCACUGCAUGACUUUUGUGCAUGUGUAUGUUUCACUGUCAGUGUGUAUUGCUGUAGCUUUCAUCUUUUGCUCAUUUUUUUCACCCUUAGCACACGUACGAUUCGAGCACGUCAUUCUGACCAAUUACCACCGAUGACAGUGUGUCCGUCCCCCGCGGAGCCGCCACUGGUUGCCGACUGGCUAACAGGACUAAUGCCUUAUUGCAUUAGAGACAAAUCUGUCCUCUGCACAGAUUUUAAUAAGCAUCAGCCACUGCUCAAGUGGCGUCGAACAAUGGGUCCACGUGGUUAGGAGGUUGACCGAUGUGUAUGCAGGCUUCACUGUAAUGAGAAAUCGCAAAAGCAGAUAAUGGAAAUAUUUAUUUUCCGGACAGAUGCAAGGGGGUAAAGAGAACUGUCUCAAGGAGGUGGAAAUUUUCAACCCAACUGAGUGCACUAAAUGGGUCUGUUUACACAGUCAUAUCUGUUUGCGUUGGACAUACGUGGCCUACAGCUGCUAGGAAAAUGCCUCUAGGGUAAUGUGUAAGGCAUGUGUGGUGGUCUGAAACAACACAUUGUGCAUACUGAAAACAGAAAGCAUGGCUUUACGAAUGUAAAUGAAAUGCUCACACCAAUGUCUGUCUGUCUUGCAUGGCUAUUUUGUUAUUUUCACACCUAACCAGUACACACUCUCCAGGGAGUCAGGGUUUUGAGUGCAUGGGGAGGAGUUGUGAUGGUUUCUGGCUCAUGUCCUGGAGGAGAACCAUGGCUGCUGGCCACCUCCUUCAGUGUGAAAUGCUGGUAAUAACUUAGCCUCCUAAAGGUCUCUCUCAAUGUGCUUUGAUGAAAAUGAAUUAAAUCCAUCCAUGUGGAAUCUGGCUUGAGUAAUCCGUAGCCCUCCAGGACAAAGAGUUGGACACCUCCACCUUGGCUGUCGCUGAAGUAACAUUCCAUUGCAUGUUUUCCAGCAUCCACACAAGCAGACACGCCUAAAACAAUGUCGGGAAACCAUGGGAAUAUCUUGGGAUUAGUGAUGAAAUAGAUUAGUUAUGAGUGCCAGGAGUCUGUAUUUCAAUGCAGCUAAACUGGAUUUAAGCUUAUUGAAGUGCUCGUCUUUCAGCAUAGCUGUUGGCCUUAUUUGUGUAGAAGAAAACUAAUGCCUUUGGGGCUGUAGAACCCUUUCGGUGACUUGGGGGAGCGGACAGAAUUUUUCACUUUCGAAAGUUAUUCUAACUUGUUUGGAAGUUGGUGUAUCCAAGUGCGCGCACAGCCUGCACAUUACGUAUGACUACAAAGAGAAUACCUAAUAAACUUGCAUAUGUUUUACCUCUUUUGUAAUGUCAAAAAUAAAAAAUAAAUAAAUUCUAGACCUGG
Molecule: RNA transcript, 3531 nt
Organism: Rhinichthys klamathensis goyatoka
Lineage: Eukaryota; Metazoa; Chordata; Actinopteri; Cypriniformes; Leuciscidae
Gene: khdrbs1b
Gene name: KH domain containing, RNA binding, signal transduction associated 1b
Exons: 11
Source: RefSeq, a predicted model, not a curated record